RNAcentral lists this unclassified non-coding RNA (873 nucleotides) under Hevea brasiliensis (rubber tree). The record is from RNAcentral. Lineage: Eukaryota; Viridiplantae; Streptophyta; Magnoliopsida; Malpighiales; Euphorbiaceae.
GUAUAAUAUUAUUUAAUGAUGUACUCCAUGACUGAAAGUUGGCUAGAAAAAUUCACUGUCCAGCUAUAAUGUUUUUGGACGAAAACCUCAGUCCAGAUCGAUUAACAAUAAGUAUAAUUCACAGAGAUAUAUCAAAAUUAACUGAACUGUUCCUUAUCGUUUCAAUCUAGAAAACCUGUUUGGCGGAAAACAGCAUUGCGAACUCGACAAAGAUCUCUCCCUUUGAGUGUUCUUCCCACGCCUUCAAGCACCGAAAACGUGGUUUUAAGUGAUCUAGCUGAUCCUCUGGCAACGAUCUCAUGCGGAGGAAGCAUCUCAUCAUCGCCGUCAUCAUCAUCGAUUUCUACGUCAGCAAGGUCACUUCUCGGUGCCUUCUUCGGCAUCAUCGGCACGUUCACUGGCACUGAGUGUUGGAACUUCCUCACCGGCAUAGUUUGUGAAUAGUUACGGUUAUAGCUAUGUUCUCUAUCCAAUGGAGGCUUGGGAAUCGUAGGAAACCCUCGAGAAAAAGCCAUCGCUGAUGCAACCGGCGGUGAAUGAAACAGUUUUGUACUAGUAGGUGAGGAAGUUAUCGAAGGUUUCCGAUAAACAACAGGACGGUUAAGUUUCCGGUGAUCCUCAGGCAAUGCAGCGAGAAUACCGAAUUUCUCCGGCUGAAGGAAAGUUUUCCGACUACUGAUUGAAGAAGGAGAAGUAGAGCGGCGCUUAGGUUCAGUGAAGUCUCCUGUCCAGAAAACUUCAUCUUCGUUCAGCUCAUCAUCAGCGAUGGAUACAUCUGCAUCGCCGAUAGCACUAUCACUCUGUGGUGGAGAGAAUACGCCGAGAAAUCGAUCGGAGGACGGCGAUCGCCGGUGGUGAAAGCUAACGACGCCG